AGCGAACGCUGGCGGCAGGCUUAACACAUGCAAGUCGAGCGGGCGUAGCAAUACGUCAGCGGCAGACGGGUGAGUAACGCGUGGGAACAUACCUUUUGGUUCGGAACAACACAGGGAAACUUGUGCUAAUACCGGAUAAGCCCUUACGGGGAAAGAUUAUCGCCGAAAGAUUGGCCCGCGUCUGAUUAGCUAGUUGGUGAGGUAAUGGCUCACCAAGGCGACGAUCAGUAGCUGGUCUGAGAGGAUGAUCAGCCACAUUGGGACUGAGACACGGCCCAAACUCCUACGGGAGGGCAGCAGUGGGGGAAUAUUGGACAAUGGGCGGCAAGCCUGAUCCAGCCAUGCCGCGUGAGU
RNAcentral lists this ribosomal RNA (354 nucleotides) under uncultured bacterium. Its description in RNAcentral is "bacterial SSU rRNA". It matches the Rfam family "Bacterial small subunit ribosomal RNA", at positions 29 to 406 of the family's 1533-position model. The record is from RNAcentral.